AACUUUCAACAACGGAUCUCUUGGCUCUCGCAUCGAUGAAGAACGCAGCGAAAUGCGAUAAGUAAUGUGAAUUGCAGAAUUCAGUGAAUCAUCGAAUCUUUGAACGCAUCUUGCACUCCUUGGUAUUCCGAGGAGUAUGCCUGUUUGAGUGUCAUUA
RNAcentral lists this ribosomal RNA (157 nucleotides) under Amanita rubrovolvata. Its description in RNAcentral is "5.8S ribosomal RNA". It matches the Rfam family "5.8S ribosomal RNA". From Rfam's summary of the family: 5.8S ribosomal RNA (5.8S rRNA) is a component of the large subunit of the eukaryotic ribosome. The record is from RNAcentral. Lineage: Eukaryota; Fungi; Basidiomycota; Agaricomycetes; Agaricales; Amanitaceae.